GGUGGCUCAGUGGUAGAGCGCUUGCUUUGCAAGCCUGAGGUCCUGGGUUCGAUUCCUCAGCACCA
This 65-nucleotide transfer RNA is filed under the name Dipodomys ordii (Ord's kangaroo rat). It matches the Rfam family "tRNA". Rfam says of the family: Transfer RNA (tRNA) molecules are approximately 80 nucleotides in length. Their secondary structure includes four short double-helical elements and three loops (D, anti-codon, and T loops). Further hydrogen bonds mediate the characteristic L-shaped molecular structure. tRNAs have two regions of fundamental functional importance: the anti-codon, which is responsible for specific mRNA codon recognition, and the 3' end, to which the tRNAs corresponding amino acid is attached (by aminoacyl-tRNA synthetases). tRNAs cope with the degeneracy of the genetic code in two manners: having more than one tRNA (with a specific anti-codon) for a particular amino acid; and 'wobble' base-pairing, i.e. permitting non-standard base-pairing at the 3rd anti-codon position. The record is from Rfam by way of RNAcentral. Lineage: Eukaryota; Metazoa; Chordata; Mammalia; Rodentia; Heteromyidae.